RNAcentral lists this ribosomal RNA (253 nucleotides) under uncultured bacterium. RNAcentral describes it as "partial 16S ribosomal RNA". It matches the Rfam family "Bacterial small subunit ribosomal RNA", at positions 524 to 776 of the family's 1533-position model. The record is from RNAcentral.
UACAGAGGGUGCAAGCGUUGUUCGGAAUUAUUGGGCGUAAAGCGCGUGUAGGCGGCUUUGCAAGUCGGGUGUGAAAGCCCUCAGCUCAACUGAGGAAGUGCGCCCGAAACUGCAGAGCUUGAGUGCCGGAGAGGGUGGCGGAAUUCCCCAAGUAGAGGUGAAAUUCGUAGAUAUGGGGAGGAACACCGGUGGCGAAGGCGGCUUCCUGGACCGACACUGACGCUGAGGCGCGAAAGCUAGGGGAGCAAACGGG